CUUCCACAAAAGGGCCAAACACCUUCCCUGGAAGAAAGAGUCCUUACAAAUCUAAAGGAGAAACAUCUGUGGAACAGUUAGAGGUCUGGUUGCUGACUAAGAGCAGCAGGGAGCUUUGUAGUUAAUCAUCUGUACUCCUACAAGGAUCUCCGCUCACCAGUGUGAAUUACUAAUGAAGGAAACCAUCAUUAAGCAUAAGACACCAUGAAAGAUAAGACACCAUGCAGUCCCCAUGCAAAAAGAAGCAAAAUCACAGCAGGAAGAAGUGGGAAUUGACACUUUAGCAAAAGAAGGGAGAAGUUCUGGACGAUUACGUUGGUAGCUGAGCGAUUUGCGUCAGGACCUCUGUGCAAAACACAGAGUAAAACUUGCUGUACGAGAAGUGAACUCUUGCCCAUCUGUGACCCUGCCUUGGAGCCAGCUGACUAAAGACUGAAGCCUCUAGGAACUCGGAGUAUAGAGGCAGGGAUUAAAUCAUCCAUGGCUUAAUUUGAUGAAAUUCUGCUAGAAUGAAGUCAUGCUUUUCAAAUAGUAGAAGAAAACGCUGAAGAUUAUAUGACAAGAUGGAGUUGUAUAAAGACAAGUAAAGAAACAUAAAAGAAAGAAACAAACAAAAAACCCCAAAACCACGAGCUCCAUACAUCUACACGUUAUUGACUUUUACUGGGUUAAAAUGCAAAUCAAAGAAGUUACUUCCAUGACU
Molecule: long non-coding RNA, 703 nt
Organism: Fukomys damarensis (Damara mole-rat)
Lineage: Eukaryota; Metazoa; Chordata; Mammalia; Rodentia; Bathyergidae
Exons: 4
Source: RefSeq, a predicted model, not a curated record